RNAcentral lists this ribosomal RNA (251 nucleotides) under uncultured bacterium. RNAcentral's name for it is "partial 16S ribosomal RNA". It matches the Rfam family "Bacterial small subunit ribosomal RNA", at positions 524 to 775 of the family's 1533-position model. The record is from RNAcentral.
UACGUAGGUGGCGAGCGUGUCCGGAUUUAUUGGGCGUAAAGCGCCCGCAGGCGGCUUGAUAAGUUUCAGGUGAAAUCUCCCGGCUUAACUGGGAGGGGUCCUGGAAAACUGUCAGGCUUGAGGCAGAGAGAGGGAUGUGGAAUUCCCGGUGUAGUAGUGAAAUGCAUAGAUAUCGGGAGGAACACCAGUGGCGAAGGCGGCAUCCUGGCUCUGUCCUGACGCUCAGGGGCGAAAGCGUGGGGAGCAACCGG